Long non-coding RNA from Eriocheir sinensis (Chinese mitten crab), 1347 nucleotides. RefSeq lists it as uncharacterized. The record is from RefSeq and is a predicted model, not a curated record. The transcript is spliced from 3 exons. NCBI's taxonomy places the organism in Eukaryota, Metazoa, Arthropoda, Malacostraca, Decapoda, Varunidae.
AAAGACAUCAUUAAUUAACCAUUUCAACGGUACCUAUAAAUGAAUCUAGCAUUGAGGUGGAGGAGACAGUUAUGAGUUAGUCGAAAAUAGGCAAAUAUGAAAGGCUGAGUAGGACAGUCUGGCAACACUGCUCGACACUUAAGGUUGCAUUACAAGACAAUCGCAGCCCAAGAACACAUAUUUGACAAGGCUUUCGUAGGAGUUGUGGGCAUUUCCAAGGGUAGUUUUAUGACCCUGGUGGUAGUGUGAGUCUUCUUCUGUACCAUGAACCUGAAGGAACACUCAUUAGAACCCGACUGACCCCCUCUUUGACCUUUAGAAAGAGCUGAUGUGAGAUGCGAGUGUCUUUUAAUACCAACCUUUGUAACAACUUAUGAGUCCACUUUGUAUUUUGUCAAGCGUAGCAACUCUCAGUAAUUAAAAACGAGAGGUAGUAUUUCCACUGGUCUCUCUUCUCUACACUACUCUAUACACUAUUUCGUCUACCUCGUACAUCCUUGCAACUUAUGAGUCCACUUUAUAUUUUGUCAAGCGUAGCAACUCUCAGUAAUUAAAAACGAGAGGUAGUAUUUCCACUGGUCUCUCUUCUCUACACUACUCUAUACACUAUUUCGUCUACCUCGUACGUCUUUGCAAUAUAUGAGUCCACUUUAUAUUUUGUUAAGCGCAGCAACUCGCAACAACCAGAAACAAGAGCUAGUAUUUCCACUGGUCUCUCUUCUCUUUCGUAUCAACAACAUAUGAGUCUGCUUUGUUUUUCAAGCGUGUAAUAUCCUUCACAUCUUUAGGUAGUGACUCACGGUAUUCAGUAACAGAGGUAACACAUAUAUUCCUUCUUCUUCUUGGACUUAUCACUAACAUAUGAGUCACUUGUAUCCUUUCCUUCGUACCAUCAACACAAAGAGUCUAUUGUGUUUCUCGUCUUUCACAUCUUAAGGUAGUGACUCAUGGUAUUCAGUAACAGAGGUACCACAUAUACUUCCCUCUCCUUCUUCGACUCAUCACUAACAUAUGAGUCACUUGUAUCCUUUCCUUCGUACCAUCAACACAAAGAGUCUAUUGUGUUUCUCGUCUUUCACAUCUUAAGGUAGUGACUCAUGGUAUUCAGUAACAGAGGUACCACAUAUACUUCCCUCUCCUUCUUCGACUCAUCACUAACAUAUGAGUCACUUGUAUCCUUUCCUUCGUACCAUCAACACAAAGAGUCUAUUGUUUCUCGUCUUUCACAUCUUAAGGUAGUGACUCAUGGUAAUCAGUAACAGAGGUAGCACAUAAAUUUGCCUCUCCUCCUCGUUCAUAUCAGCACAUUAUGACUCUACUGUCUGUCUAGAUGAAUAGGGGAGCAUA